Spinacia oleracea (spinach) is the source of this 163-nucleotide non-coding RNA. NCBI's taxonomy places the organism in Eukaryota, Viridiplantae, Streptophyta, Magnoliopsida, Caryophyllales, Amaranthaceae. The record is from Rfam.
AAGAGAAGAGUAUGUUAAGAUAGCCAAGGUGACCGCCUGACUAACCUUUUCGAAAGCUCUAAUUAACCAACAUAAUUGCAUGGUAAUUAGCUUGAUAAUAAUUAAACCUUCAUAAAAUGAAGCAGGCAAGUCAUCCUUGGCUACUAAACCAUGACUCUUAACC